GUCCCGUUCGUCUAGUGGCCAAGGACGCCAGGUUCUCAUCCUGGUAACAGGGGUUCGAGUCCCCUACGGGAUG
RNAcentral lists this transfer RNA (73 nucleotides) under Phycisphaerales bacterium. RNAcentral's name for it is "tRNA-Glu". It matches the Rfam family "tRNA". Rfam says of the family: Transfer RNA (tRNA) molecules are approximately 80 nucleotides in length. Their secondary structure includes four short double-helical elements and three loops (D, anti-codon, and T loops). The record is from RNAcentral. Lineage: Bacteria; Pseudomonadati; Planctomycetota; Phycisphaerae; Phycisphaerales.